AAUGGAAUAAAGGACGCAUGGAUCAGAA
This 28-nucleotide non-coding RNA is filed under the name Cricetulus griseus (Chinese hamster). The record is from RNAcentral. Lineage: Eukaryota; Metazoa; Chordata; Mammalia; Rodentia; Cricetidae.